UGUUCGGAAUCAUUGGGCGUAAAGCGGGUGUAGGUGGCUCUGUAAGUCAGGAGUGAAAGCCCCGAGCUUAACUCGGGAAGUGCUUUUGAUACUGCAGAGCUUGAAUGUGGGAGAGGAUCGUGGAAUUCCAGGUGUAGUGGUGAAAUACGUAGAUAUCUGGAGGAACACCGGUGGCGAAGGCGGCGAUCUGGCCCAACAUUGACACUGAGACCCGAAAGCGUGGGGAGCAAACAGG
This 235-nucleotide ribosomal RNA is filed under the name uncultured bacterium. Its description in RNAcentral is "partial 16S ribosomal RNA". It matches the Rfam family "Bacterial small subunit ribosomal RNA", at positions 542 to 776 of the family's 1533-position model. The record is from RNAcentral.